AAGUAAGAAGCAAAUUUUGCAAUCAGUUUCGACCUGAUCUUUGAUAAUAAUAAAUUAUCCUCACUUU
This 67-nucleotide transfer RNA is filed under the name Labiotermes labralis. RNAcentral's name for it is "tRNA-Arg". Lineage: Eukaryota; Metazoa; Arthropoda; Insecta; Blattodea; Termitidae. The record is from RNAcentral.